UACGUAGGGGGCAAGCGUUGUCCGGAUGUAUUGGGCGUAAAGAGCGUGUAGGCGGCCAGACAAGUCUGCUGUGAAAACUCGAGGCUCAACCUCGAGCUGUCGGUGGAAACUGUCUGGCUAGAGUCCGGAAGAGGAGAGUGGAAUUCCUGGUGUAGCGGUGAAAUGCGCAGAUAUCAGGAAGAACACCCGUGGCGAAGGCGGCUCUCUGGGACGGUACUGACGCUGAGACGCGAAAGCGUGGGGAGCGAACAGG
This 253-nucleotide ribosomal RNA is filed under the name uncultured bacterium. Its description in RNAcentral is "partial 16S ribosomal RNA". It matches the Rfam family "Bacterial small subunit ribosomal RNA", at positions 524 to 776 of the family's 1533-position model. The record is from RNAcentral.